UUGGUUCGAAUACGUUUGGAAACGAACGCUAAUACCGGAUGAGCCCUACGGGGGAAAGAUUUAUCGCCAAAGGAGCAGCCCGCGUCUGAUUAGCUAGUUGGUGGGGUAAAGGCCUACCAAGGCGACGAUCAGUAGCUGGUCUGAGAGGAUGAUCAGCCACACUGGGACUGAGACACGGCCCAGACUCCUACGGGAGGCAGCAGUGGGGAAUAUUGGACAAUGGGCGGAAGCCUGAUCCAGCCAUGCCGCGUGAGUGAUGAAGGCCUUCGGGUUGUAAAGCUCUUUCGCACACGACGAUGAUGACGGUAGUGUGAGAAGAAGCCCCGGCUAACUUCGUGCCAGCAGCCGCGGUAAUACGAAGGGGGCUAGCGUUGUUCGGAAUUACUGGGCGUAAAGGGCGCGUAGGCGGCUUAUCAAGUCAGGCGUGAAAGCCCCGGGCUUAACCUGGGAACUGCGCUUGAGACUGGUAGGCUAGAGUACCGGAGAGGUAGGUGGAAUUCCCAGUGUAGAGGUGAAAUUCGUAGAUAUUGGGAAGAACACCAGUGGCGAAGGCGGCCUACUGGACGGUAACUGACGCUGAGGCGCGAAAGCGUGGGGAGCAACAGGAUUAGAUACCCUGGUAGUCCACGCUGUAACGAUGUCCGCUAGACGUUGGGGCCCUUAGGGUUUCAGUGUCGCAGCUACGCAUUAAGCCGACCCCUGGGGAGUACGGCCCCAGGUUGAACUCAAGGAAUUGACGGGGGCCCGCAAAACGGGUGGACAUGUGNUUUAUUCGAACCACNCGCAAAC
RNAcentral lists this ribosomal RNA (789 nucleotides) under proteobacterium 30. RNAcentral describes it as "bacterial SSU rRNA". It matches the Rfam family "Bacterial small subunit ribosomal RNA", at positions 133 to 968 of the family's 1533-position model. The record is from RNAcentral. Lineage: Bacteria; Pseudomonadati; Pseudomonadota.